UACGGAAGGCAGCAGUGGGGAAUAUUGCACAAUGGGCGCAAGCCUGAUGCAGCCAUGCCGCGUGUAUGAAAAAGGCCUUCGGGUUGUAAAGUACUUUCAGUCGUGAGGAAGGUGUUAAGGUUAAUAACCUUAGCAAUUGACGUUAGCGACAGAAGAAGCACCGGCUAACUCCGUGCCAGCAGCCGCAGUAAUACGGAGGGUGCGAGCGUUAAUCGGAAUUACUGGGCGUAAAGGGCACGCAGGCGGUUAAUUAAGUUGGAUGUGAAAUCCCCGGGCUUAACCUGGGAAUGGCAUUCAAGACUGGUUAGCUAGAGUCUUGUAGAGGGGGUAGAAUUCCAUGUGUAGCGGUGAAAUGCGUAGAGAUGUGGAGGAAUACCGGUGGCGAAGGCGGCCCCUGGACAAAGACUGACGCUCAUGUGCGAAAGCGUGGGGAGCGAAAC
This 440-nucleotide ribosomal RNA is filed under the name uncultured bacterium. RNAcentral's name for it is "bacterial SSU rRNA". It matches the Rfam family "Bacterial small subunit ribosomal RNA", at positions 340 to 774 of the family's 1533-position model. The record is from RNAcentral.